ACACAUGCAAGUCGAACGGUAAGGCCCCUUCGGGGGUACACGAGUGGCGAACGGGUGAGUAACACGUGAGCAACCUACCCUUGACACUGGAAUAACAGUUGGAAACAGCUGCUAAUGCCGGAUACGACCUUCGGUGGCAUCACCUGGAGGUGGAAAGUGCUUAGCGGUCAAGGAUGGGCUCGCGGCCUAUCAGCUAGUUGGUGAGGUAACGGCUCACCAAGGCUUCGACGGGUAGCCGGCCUGAGAGGGCGACCGGCCACACUGGGACUGAGAUACGGCCCAGACUCCUACGGGAGGCAGCAGUGGGGAAUAUUGCACAAUGGGCGCAAGCCUGAUGCAGCAACGCCGCGUGCGGGAUGACGGCCUUCGGGUUGUAAACCGCUUUCAGUUCCGACGAAGCGCAAGUGACGGUAGGAACAGAAGAAGGACCGGCCAACUACGUGCCAGCAGCCGCGGUGAUACGUAGGGUCCGAGCGUUGUCCGGAAUUAUUGGGCGUAAAGGGCUUGUAGGCGGUUUGUCACGUCGGAAGUGAAAACUCAGGGCUUAACCCUGAGCCUGCUUCCGAUACGGGCAAACUAGAGGAAUGCAGGGGAGAAUGGAAUUCCUGGUGGAGCGGUGGAAUGCGCAGAUAUCAGGAGGAACACCGGUGGCGAAGGCGGUUCUCUGGGCAUUUCCUGACGCUGAGAAGCGAAAGCGUGGGGAGCAAACAGGCUUAGAUACCCUGGUAGUCCACGCCGUAAACGGUGGGCACUAGGUGUGGGGAACAUUCCACGUUCUCCGUGCCGAAGCUAACGCAUUAAGUGCCCCGCCUGGGGAGUACGGCCGCAAGGCUAAAACUCAAAGGAAUUGACGGGGGCCCGCACAAGCGGCGGAGCAUGCGGAUUAAUUCGAUGCAACGCGAAGAACCUUACCUGGGUUUGACAUAUACCGGA
RNAcentral lists this ribosomal RNA (933 nucleotides) under uncultured bacterium. RNAcentral describes it as "bacterial SSU rRNA". It matches the Rfam family "Bacterial small subunit ribosomal RNA", at positions 51 to 995 of the family's 1533-position model. The record is from RNAcentral.